AGCGCUGCAUUGAUGGCAGUAAUGCUGGACGUGAAAACUAACCUUCACCAGAGACGUGACCUCGCCCAACAACAUGGAUCAAUUUUGCUUCACGAAAACCCAAAGAAGAAAGUGAUUCAACCACCGCGACUUACAGUUCCUCCAUUGGAAGCUCGCCUCUCCCCAUUUCCAUCUUCCCCGAGGCCAAUCGCUGCCGGCUUCCGGCCAGUACGAAAAUAAACCCGGUAACGGGAGCCGGCCGCAGUGUUCACGUCUGAAGCCGCUUCAAGUGUCCCGGUCCGCUUCUACUGCUCUCAAGUCUCAUCCGCCGACAUAAAGAGGCAACAGCCUGAAUCUCCAGCUGUACCCCCAGGGGGGGCCUCCACAGAUGAACCAGGGCUGUGAAGCUGCAUCCCUGGUAGUGAAGCCUCCCUCACUGCUUUCAGCCACUCAGGGGACCUUGUCCACUGUGUCAACAUCUACAGCGUCAGGGUGCUCGGGAGGAAGCGUGGCCUCUUUUCAGCCGCCUGCUGUUUACUCUGGGUGUGGAUGAGUGCAGUGUCCCAGGGAUGGACCGAGUGGACAGCCUGGCAGAGUAUUUGAUGGUGCUGAGGAAUGAAACUGGACAAACACUGAGCAACCAGCAGGCCACCACCAUCAAAGCCCUGUGGCAGAACCUUCUGCGUAUAGGACCAGCAGCGAGUGGCAUACACUGCAUGGCACCGCGUGUGGCUGACAACAGGACGCUUCAGGUGUUAUUAAAAAAAAAAAACCCUGAAUUUAAACCAGGUGUGGUGAGCAUGUUAUGUUGUGUCUGAGCAUCAACAGGAUCCCCUGCCAAGUGGCCAGACUGUUGUCAUCUCGCAGAGUCCAACUUUGUCAGACUCUGUAACAUUAAGAGCCCUAAAAAACAAGCAGUUAACCUCUGACAAGCUGGACUCAGAUUCUCAGAGACUACAGCAAGAUCAGGCAGCUGGUCCUGGGUAAUGGUACGGUCACGCACAACACUCCUCUGCAGUUGUUUGAUGUGAAUCAGACGGUGGCACAACAAGCGACUGAUGGGGUAGAAAUGUAGUAUUCUGCUGCAAGGAGUCAACCUGCCUGCUGCCUCUAUUCCUGCUGCUCCUGUGUCUCUCCCACCGGUACAGCUACACCCCACAGCCUGCUUCUUCUAUCAGCCCAUUGCUGUAAUAAUUUAAUUAUCAUCCCAUGUAACAGGUCUGGUAUUUCAGGAAAGUCAGCAUUACAGAAAUAACAUACUGUAUAUACUGACAAAUAUUGUGUGUUCCUG
Long non-coding RNA from Chelmon rostratus (copperband butterflyfish), 1270 nucleotides. RefSeq lists it as uncharacterized. The transcript has 3 exons. The record is from RefSeq and is a predicted model, not a curated record. NCBI's taxonomy places the organism in Eukaryota, Metazoa, Chordata, Actinopteri, Chaetodontiformes, Chaetodontidae.